RNAcentral lists this ribosomal RNA (253 nucleotides) under uncultured bacterium. RNAcentral describes it as "partial 16S ribosomal RNA". It matches the Rfam family "Bacterial small subunit ribosomal RNA", at positions 524 to 776 of the family's 1533-position model. The record is from RNAcentral.
UACGUAGGUGACCAGCGUUGUCCGGAUUUAUUGGGCGUAAAGAGCUCGUAGGCGGCUUGUCGCGUCGAAUGUGAAAUCUCAGGGCUCAACCCUGACAUUGCAUUCGAUACGGGCAGGCUAGAGUUCGGUAGGGGAGACUGGAAUUCCUGGUGUAGCGGUGAAAUGCGCAGAUAUCAGGAGGAACACCGGUGGCGAAGGCGGGUCUCUGGGCCGAUACUGACGCUGAGGAGCGAAAGCGUGGGGAGCGAACAGG